AUGCUUGCCAGGUUCUUGAGGUUGAAUCCUCAGAGGUUCUCCAGUUCCCUUGAACCUAUUGUGGCUGAUGACUGGCUCCGUGCAGUCAAUAGGAACCUGGAGACGGUUGGAUGCCCUGAUGCAGAGAGGGUGAGGUUUGCCUCACAUUUGUUGGAAGGUCCUGCUGCAGCUUGGUGGGACAACUACUUGGUCACUUAUCCCAUUGCUACUAUCACACGGCCUCAGUUUCAGGAUGCCUUCCGUGCUGCACAUGUGUCUGUUGGUGCUAUGAGUCUGAAAAAGAACGAGUUUCGCAGUUUGCGCCAGGGAGGUCGCACAGUUAAUGCGUUGCAUGUUAUGCUCCUAAUGAUGUUAACACUGAUGCAGCUAGGCAAGAGAAAUUCUUGGAGGGCCUUAAUGAUGAGUUGA
This 408-nucleotide ribosomal RNA is filed under the name Triticum aestivum (bread wheat). RNAcentral describes it as "partial small subunit ribosomal RNA". The record is from RNAcentral. Lineage: Eukaryota; Viridiplantae; Streptophyta; Magnoliopsida; Poales; Poaceae.